Molecule: small RNA, 1670 nt
Filed under: Pan troglodytes (chimpanzee)
Lineage: Eukaryota; Metazoa; Chordata; Mammalia; Primates; Hominidae
Description: processed transcript
Source: RNAcentral
UAGAGAUAGGGUUUCACCAUGUUGGCCAGGCUGGUCUCGAACUCCUGACCUCAAGUGAUGCACCUGCCUCAGUCUCCCAAAAUGCUGGGAUUACAGCCAUGAGCCAUCGUGCCCAGCCAGAAAUGCAUCUCUUUAUGUGAGAACUUUGAUGCUGUUGAUUUCAGCAUUUAUAGCAAAAGACAAUCCCAAAGAGACAACACGCGUGGCUGUUUUUGUGAGAAUUUUGGAUGUUAAUGACAAUGCCCCACAGUUUGCUGUGUUCUAUGACACUUUUGUAUGUGAAAAUGCCAGACCAGGGCAGCUAAUACAGACUAUAAGUGCAGUAGACAAAGAUGACCCUUUAGGUGGACAGAAAUUUUUUUUCAGUUUAGCUGCUGUCAAUCCAAACUUCACAGUACAGGAUAAUGAAGAUAAUACUGCCAGAAUCUUAACCAGAAAAAAUGGAUUCAAUAGACAUGAAAUCAGUACCUAUCUCUUGCCUGUGGUGAUAUCAGACAAUGAUUACCCAAUUCAGAGCAGCACAGGCACACUGACCAUUCGAGUGUGUGCUUGUGACAGCCAAGGCAACAUGCAAUCCUGCAGUGCUGAAGCCCUGCUCCUCCCUGCCGGCCUCAGCACCGGGGCCUUGAUCGCCAUCCUCCUCUGCAUCAUCAUUCUACUGGUUAUAGUAGUACUGUUUGCAGCUCUGAAAAGACAGCGAAAAAAAGAGCCUCUGAUCUUGUCAAAAGAAGAUAUCAGAGACAACAUUGUGAGCUAUAACGAUGAGGGUGGUGGAGAGGAGGACACCCAGGCCUUUGAUAUCGGCACCCUGAGGAAUCCUGCAGCCAUUGAGGAAAAAAAGCUCCGGCGAGAUAUUAUUCCAGAAACGUUAUUUAUUCCUCGGAGGACUCCUACAGCUCCAGAUAACACGGACGUCCGGGAUUUCAUUAAUGAAAGGCUAAAAGAGCAUGAUCUUGACCCCACCGCACCCCCCUACGACUCACUUGCAACCUAUGCCUAUGAAGGAAAUGAUUCCAUUGCUGAAUCUCUGAGUUCAUUAGAAUCAGGUACUACUGAAGGAGACCAAAACUACGAUUACCUCCGAGAAUGGGGCCCUCGGUUUAAUAAGCUAGCAGAAAUGUAUGGUGGUGGGGAAAGUGACAAAGACUCUUAACGUAGGAUAUAUGUUCUAUUCAAACAAGAGAAAGUAACUCUACCCAUGCUGUCUCCACUUCACAAUAUUUGAUAUUCAGGAGCAUUUUCCUGCCAGUCAGCACAAUUUUUUUUCUCAUUUACUUCUUAAUUUGUUCAUUAAUUACAUUAAUUCUUUCCUGUAGGAUGUCUCAUGGAAUAUAUAUGACAUUUUAUUUAAUCACUUCCAAGAGCCAAAGCUAUGGAAAUACAGUGUUGUCCAUCUUAGUAAAUAAAAGAUAAUUUCAGAAACAUGAACAGGAUAGUUCUCCCUUAAGCAACUUCACAAACAAGCCGCUUCUGUUAGAUACAUGUCCUGCCCUUGCAAAUGAAGCUUUUAAAAAGGUGAAGAAAAAUUUUACAGUAUAUCCUGUUCUGUACAUUAAAUUAAAAAAACAAAAAUGUACAUGUGAUGUUAGUAGGUGUGAUAUGCAACCUGGUAUACAGACAUUUGUGCAAUUUCAUUUCAUCAAAUUCUAUCUGCUAAUGUUUUAUAUUUA